RNAcentral lists this long non-coding RNA (1475 nucleotides) under Eutrema salsugineum. RNAcentral describes it as "long non-coding RNA (ESAL_LNC002066)". Lineage: Eukaryota; Viridiplantae; Streptophyta; Magnoliopsida; Brassicales; Brassicaceae. The record is from RNAcentral.
UCUUCGAAAAACUCUAUUUCUCUUCCUCUCUUCCGCAAAACUUCGCCAAGUGAUUUCGCCGACGUUUUUUAACCAAAUCGGAGAGUUCUGCUUCGAAAUCGGAGAGGAUUCAGGUGUUUAAAGUCUCUUGAAACGCCAACGAUUUGUUUAAGGUAUGUAUUCGAGUCGAAUAGAACUUGAUUUGGAGAAAUUAGGGUUUUCGCAAAUUGGGGAUAAAUUUCAGUUCCACUAAAAUCGGUCUUCCGAGAUCGUUUAGGGUAAUUAGAACCUGCAAACCUGUAUUUUUGAUUUGAUAUGUUAAACGAUUUCAUGGUUAAGAUGUGAAGCAAUUUCAAAAAAUCAUCUAACAUCUGGGUUGUCGGAUUUAUGGAUUUAGCGAAUGGUUUUGGUUUGAUUAGUGGAUUUAGCAAGCUGUAUCAUCUGUUAAAUGAUGAUUUGAACAUGGAUUUGGGAUUUACCGAGUGAUUUCAUGUGUUAACCGAUGCUCAUUUGAUUUAGCUUGUAGUCAUUGAUUUCUUUGACAUUAGGUUGGCUUAUGUAACAAGAACAUGCUUUAUCUGUUAUGUAACAAGAACAUGCUUUCCUUAGAGAAUAUAUAAGCUAGUAUUUACAGCCAUUUCCUUUGUCUUUAAGUAGGUUUUUUCUAAACCCAGCUACUCUCUAAGUUUUAGUUAACUCUGUUGUAUUAAAAAGUCUUGUAAGCUAUGCUAUGUAGUCUCGAAGAACUGUUGUUUAACUUUUGGUAAUGAGGCAAUGUUAUGGUUAGUAUUGGUUCCAUAUUGUUAUUGGUUUCGUGUUGCAUCUGCGGUUUGGUUCUUGGGCAUCUGUUUCUAGUUUCAUUUCCCUUUUGCAGAUUAGAUUGACUGUACUUGUAUUAAUGCUAUUCAUUUUUUUAAUUGCUUUGAGGUGAAUUGGAGUAAAUUGUGGCGUAAUGAAAGUAACUACCAGAAGUUGGUUCACGUCUGCUUCGUAUUUAAGGUUAGUCUUCAAUCUGUAGUUAUGUGUAUGACUUGUUAAUAAGUUUUAAGGGUUAAGGUCUUGUCAUUACCAUAAAUGUUUGUUUGGUGAGUAGUUAAGUGUCUGUUAUUAUUGCCGUGACAGUUUGCUGGUUAGAGUAGGUUAGCGAGUUAAUGGUAGUUAAAGUUAAUAAGAUUUCCCUCUAUAAAAAACACAAAACAAACCAAAACACACAACAGAAAACAAAACUUGAAUAAACCUAACUUAAAAAGUUCUUCCAAGUUCUUCCUUCUAAACCCUUCUUUGUUAACGUUUUUAAGUUCUUCUUUCUAAACUUCUUCCUUGAAUACCCUUUUCUCUUUUUAAUCCUUUACACAAAGAUGGAUUCCACAAACCCUGCCUUGACUGGUUUUGUUAACCUACUAACCAGUCAACAAGAAAACCAAUACACUUUCCCAACAACCAUCGAGCUUGGAUCAGCCGAACCUAGGUUUAGCCAGUUUACACUUGAAGAACAA